CCUCUCUCAGCUGUUGUGUUGGUUGUACGUUUUCCUCCAUGUUCUCCGCGCUCGAGCAGCUGUAAUGUCAGCAACAUCUCGUAAACUAUCCCGCUGCUGUGUGUUUGGAUGUUAGACUGAACAUAAGUCUUCUUUUCUCCCAACAUCUGAGCUGCUGAGGCUGCUGUGGAUCACUUCUGUUUUUCAAGGGAAGCGACUGAACUUCAGAUGAAGACACAGCAGCUCUGAGGAUGGACCAGUUCACCACUCCAGCUCCAUCAUCCGGCUGGAUCCCAGAGACGGGUCAUUAUCUGGAGCAGACAGCCUCUCAGAGGAGUCCUGGCCGUGCGGUAGAGAGACCUGCCAUGCAGCUCCGACGAUUAAGAGACAAACUGACAAGAGCUGGAUGGAUGGACUUGAAUCAACCAAUACACUCUAUGCUUCCUCUGAGACUCUGGUAAAAUAUCUAUUUUCCACUCAUUGUCGAGGACUGUUAUGUACCGCCGACAAAGAACUGGGGACGAAAACAACAGCUAAUUUGCUGAACAAGGCAUUUUUUCUUCUCCCAUAAGAGCCC
Cyprinus carpio carpio is the source of this 556-nucleotide long non-coding RNA. Lineage: Eukaryota; Metazoa; Chordata; Actinopteri; Cypriniformes; Cyprinidae. The record is from Ensembl.